AAGAGGAAUCUCCUGGAAGGCCUGAGGUUAUUGAUGCUGAAUCUAAGGAAUUUCAGGAGCCAAAGGACACUGAGACUCAGAAUUCUUUCAAUGGUGAGGAAAUUACGUCCAUGGGGAAGUCUGUGCUUCAGCCAUGCAAUUCCCAUGCAAUUGAACCUGAUAGGUCAUCUCUUGAAGGUGAAAGCUACCGGGGAACUGAUGCUGUGACGCAAAAUUUGGAAACAAGUGAGAAAGCUGGUACAGAAGUUUCUGUAGACGGACAAGCUGGUUUCAGGGAUUAUGACAAACCUUUGGAUUGUGCAUUGUCUAAUGAUAUUUGCACAGAGAUUUCUAAUAGGUCUCCCACUUCGGACUUCCCUGCACCUGAGAAGUUGCUUUCUGUUCCAGAGGGCCUUACUGAAACACAUGUUGAUGACAUACCAUUGGGUUCUUCAUUGGAUAAAGG
RNAcentral lists this unclassified non-coding RNA (445 nucleotides) under Hevea brasiliensis (rubber tree). The record is from RNAcentral. Lineage: Eukaryota; Viridiplantae; Streptophyta; Magnoliopsida; Malpighiales; Euphorbiaceae.